CCAGUUGGCCGGGCGGCCGCGCUUUGCCAAUGCCGAAAGGCGGCAGGGUGAGGAAAGUCCGGGCUCCACGGAAACACGGUGCCGGAGAAAGUCCGGCGGGGGCGACCCCAGAGACAGUGCCACAGAAAGCAAACCGCCCGGCCUUGGCCGGGUAAGGGUGAAAGGGUGGGGCAAGAGCCCACCGCGCCGGCGGCAACGCAUGGCGGCACGGUAAACCUCACCGGGAGCAAAACCGAAUAGGGAUGACGCGGCGCUUGACGCCAGCCUGUUUCCAGGCCGGUCAUCCGGGUGGGUUGCGAGAGGCAGCGCGCAAGUGCUGUCCCAGAUGAAUGGCCGCCACGUUUUGCGGGCAACCGCAAAGCCAUACAGAACCCGGCUUACAGGCCAACUGGUUAU
RNAcentral lists this RNase P RNA (396 nucleotides) under Martelella mediterranea DSM 17316. RNAcentral describes it as "Bacterial RNase P class A". It matches the Rfam family "Bacterial RNase P class A". From Rfam's summary of the family: Ribonuclease P (RNase P) is a ubiquitous endoribonuclease, found in archaea, bacteria and eukarya as well as chloroplasts and mitochondria. Its best characterised activity is the generation of mature 5'-ends of tRNAs by cleaving the 5'-leader elements of precursor-tRNAs. Cellular RNase Ps are ribonucleoproteins. The record is from Rfam by way of RNAcentral. Lineage: Bacteria; Pseudomonadati; Pseudomonadota; Alphaproteobacteria; Hyphomicrobiales; Aurantimonadaceae.